UACGUAGGUGGCAAGCGUUACUCGGAAUUACUAGGCGUAAAGCGCAGGUAGCUGGUUAGGUAAGUCUGUAAUGAAAUCUCCCGGCUUAACUGGGAGGGGUUUAUAGAUACUGCUUGACUCGAGUGUGGGAGAGGUCACUGGAAUUCCAGGUGUAGCGGUGAAAUGCGUAGAUAUCUGGAGGAACACCAAUGGCGAAAGCAGGUGACUGGCCCAAUACUGACGGUGAGCUGCGAAAGCUAGGGGAGCAAACAGG
Molecule: ribosomal RNA, 253 nt
Filed under: uncultured bacterium
Lineage: Bacteria
Description: partial 16S ribosomal RNA
Rfam family: Bacterial small subunit ribosomal RNA
Source: RNAcentral